RNAcentral lists this ribosomal RNA (465 nucleotides) under Vreelandella stevensii. RNAcentral describes it as "partial 16S ribosomal RNA". It matches the Rfam family "Bacterial small subunit ribosomal RNA", at positions 338 to 795 of the family's 1533-position model. Lineage: Bacteria; Pseudomonadati; Pseudomonadota; Gammaproteobacteria; Oceanospirillales; Halomonadaceae. The record is from RNAcentral.
CCUACGGGGGGCAGCAGUGGGGAAUAUUGGACAAUGGGGGGAACCCUGAUCCAGCCAUGCCACGUGUGUGAAGAAGGCCCUCGGGUUGUAAAGCACUUUCAGUGAGGAAGAACGCCUGGUGGUUAAUACCCAUCAGGAAAGACAUCACUCACAGAAGAAGCACCGGCUAACUCCGUGCCAGCAGCCGCGGUAAUACGGAGGGUGCGAGCGUUAAUCGGAAUUACUGGGCGUAAAGCGCGCGUAGGUGGCUUGAUAAGCCGGUUGUGAAAGCCCCGGGCUCAACCUGGGAACGGCAUCCGGAACUGUCAAGCUAGAGUGCAGGAGAGGAAGGUAGAAUUCCCGGUGUAGCGGUGAAAUGCGUAGAGAUCGGGAGGAAUACCAGUGGCGAAGGCGGCCUUCUGGACUGACACUGACACUGAGGUGCGAAAGCGUGGGUAGCAAACAGGAUUAGAUACCCGUGUAGUC